UUCCUGGGGGGCCGCCACAGUGGGCCCCAUCACAAAGCGCCCAUCUGGGCCCCGGCAAAUGGGCUCCAGGGGUAAGGGUCCCCGGCUAGGCGGAGGAUCUGGGUGGGGGCUGGGAGUUCCGGCAGGAUCCCCCCAGAGCAGACUCUGGCGCAGGCUGGGAACUGGGGAACCCUGGAGCUUCAGCUUCGCCACGCUGUCAGGACUGCCUGAGCCCAGAGCAGAGCUGGGGAAGGACAGGAGAUCAGGGUCUGUGGUAGGGGCAGGUCCCCCUCCCAGGAGCCAGCGUCAGGCCUUGAGAGGUUUGGUGAACAGAGCAGAGCUAGGGAGAACAAGCGAGGAAAGGACCAACAAGGUGGAAGGGGUGGAGGGAAGGCACAGGCCAUACUGGACCGGCCUCAGGCUGGGGCCACUGCACACCCCUUCUUACCCUCUCCCACUUUUGUUCCUCUCCCACCCCUAACAUCCCCCUAGUAAAGAUGCAAAAAAGGAAGCAGAGGAUACUGGCAUGUACAAUGGAAAAGCAGAAGAAAGCCAAGGAGGUGGAGGCACUUACGGUGCAGCUGAUGUCCCGGUCGGAGAGAAGAUAAGAGGUGGAUCUGGAAGGGCACGAGAAUAAUAGGUGACACAGGCAAAAAACCAGGCCCUCCAGGCGCAGACUCUCUCACCCAACACCAAACGCCCAACCCCAUCCGGGUGGGAAAAGCGUAGGCAGGACCCGAUGCAGGACUAAGAGCAUGCACCUGGAUCACACAGGAGCGAGGAUUUUCCCCCAGCCAGAGGUCCCCAUCCUCCUCCUCCCUGUCCUUCUCCACCACCUGCCCCGCAGCCUCAUACAAUUGACUGUCAGAUGCACCCAGGAGCCGUUAGCAAAAUCGUCUUCAGGGAUGUGCUGGUCCAGGAAGAACACGCGGCACUCGUACCAGCCCUGGUCUUCCACCCGGAGACCCUCAAUCUGGAGAGAGGCCCCCUUCUGCAGCCGGACUCGUCCUGGGGGAGGAGCCCUGAAUCAAGGGUGCUGAAGGAACCCCAUGGAAGCCCCAAUCCCCUGGUCACACUGGUAAUUCUUAGAGCUGGGACCCUGUCUACACAAAGAGAAACCAAGGGGACAGCAGGUGGACAAAACCUUCCCCCUGAACUGCACUCGGCGUCCAGGACUGUUGGGGAAGGAGGUGAAGAGCCAGCACGUAGUCUCCUCUGGACUCUUACAGGAUCUGGGCUUUUUUUGUAGGGGAAGGUGUGAGCUCCUGGGAGUACUCCUGAUAGAGCAUUGUUUCCCUGAAAACCUCAGCAGUGUUUGAGGCCCUAGCAGGGGAACCCAGACCCCGCCUGCCAAAGCCCCUAAUCCCUCAGGGC
Long non-coding RNA from Macaca mulatta (Rhesus monkey), 1353 nucleotides. RefSeq lists it as uncharacterized. The record is from RefSeq and is a predicted model, not a curated record. Lineage: Eukaryota; Metazoa; Chordata; Mammalia; Primates; Cercopithecidae.